RNAcentral lists this ribosomal RNA (396 nucleotides) under uncultured bacterium. RNAcentral's name for it is "bacterial SSU rRNA". It matches the Rfam family "Bacterial small subunit ribosomal RNA", at positions 28 to 416 of the family's 1533-position model. The record is from RNAcentral.
GAUAAACGCUGGCGGCGCACAUAAGACAUGCAAGUCGAACGGACUUAACCAUUAGUUUACUAUUGGAGCGGUUAGUGGCGGACUGGUGAGUAACACGUAAGCAACCUGCCUAUCAGAGGGGAACAACAGUUAGAAAUGACUGCUAAUACCGCAUAUGCCUAAGUACCACAUGGUACAAUAGGGAAAGGAGCAAUCCGCUGAUAGAUGGGCUUGCGUCUGAUUAGAUAGUUGGUGGGGUAACGGCCUACCAAGUCGACGAUCAGUAGCCGGACUGAGAGGUUGAACGGCCACAUUGGGACUGAGACACGGCCCAGACUCCUACGGGAGGCAGCAGUGGGGAAUAUUGCACAAUGGGCGAAAGCCUGAUGCAGCAACGCCGCGUGAGGGAAGACGGCC